RNAcentral lists this long non-coding RNA (2644 nucleotides) under Sus scrofa (pig). Its description in RNAcentral is "lncRNA (ENSSSCG00040044468.1)". The record is from RNAcentral. Lineage: Eukaryota; Metazoa; Chordata; Mammalia; Artiodactyla; Suidae.
AAAAAAAAAAAAAAACCAAAAGUAAAAACACAUGUCAGGCAGACUCCAGAGACUAGAGGAAAAGUGGAGAGGAGGAUCAACACUCAAUUUGACCCAUUUCUCUGUUUCUCCACCUGAAACACUUUCCUCUCUCCUCCCCUUUUUCCUUGCACCUGUCUUCAUUGUAGAUGGGCUCAUACAUCCUUGUCCCUUGUCUCCUGUCACUACGUAAAGUCAGGGAAAAGCUGGAAAGCUGUGCAGACCCCUGGACUUUUCUCUGCCUUGCACUGGGGCCUAUGCUGUAGUCCCCAGAUGCCUUUCUCAGCUGAGUCUGGGCUUAACUGGCCAAGAGUCUCUUGGUUGAGAGAUGGGUAUGCUAGUGGAAAGGAAGAGGCUGGGUGUUGCCCCUGCUUCACUGCAGCCUUUCCAGCUCAGCUGGUGAGCUGGCCCCUGACCUUGAGCAGCACUGCCUCAUACCCCUGCCAUCCAGCUUGGGAUGGCCCUGGCUUUCCUUCUUGUGAUAAUCCCUGGGUUGCUUUAUUCUAUUUGGCUUCUCUAAUCUUCCAUCACUUAUGAGGCUAAUCCCCUGGAUUCAAUUCCUCCUGUUUUAAACACUGAAAGUGGCUUCUGCUUCUCUUGAAUGACACAGGGAUAUACUUUCAAACAAUAGACAGCCAUGCCUCCCACAUGUGCCACCUUAAAAACAGUGCAAGGAGGGAUUCAAAUUUUGAAGCAUCUGCCUUAAAGAGGAGUUCCAUUGCAGCUCGCUAACAGUAAAAAAUUUAUUUGAAUAGCAGUCAGAGUGUUUACCAUCAGAAAGGUAAUUCUGAAAGAAUCAUCAUCAGAUUCUUUAAAAGUUUUGAUAAUGAAUUAAGACCACAUUAUCCUCCACAACUUUUCUAUAAGGAUGCAUCAAUAUUUAAUUUCCUUCUCAAAACCACAUUAGGAUUAACAUUACAAAGAAACCAGGCUUUUGUUCCAAGGGAAAAUGCAUCUCUGUGCUGUAGUGGUUUUAUCAGAUAUCUCUCUUAGCAUAAUACAGUGAAGGGGAGUAUAUUUGUACUGACAACAGAUUCUUUUUCUGAAUUUCUGCCCCCUUGCUACUUUUACAAACUAAGCAAGAAUCAUUUUACCAGCAGGAAAACACAGUCCAUAAAACUUUGCAGCAGCAGGAUACAUUCACUAAUAUUUGGCUAAUCUUUGGGUGAUUUCAAGAGAAGGUAAUGGAAGAAUUUUAAUCGUUAGCAGAGAGCAUGUGAACCUCUCUUUUUAUAACCUGGGUCACCUAACACUUUGCAAGAUGUCAGGGUACAAGCACUUAAUCACAGCAUCCAGAAUCUCUUCAGUGUUCUAUUCAGAACCAAUUUGUGUCUGCUUCCUAAGUGCUAAGCUUGAACAGAUAUGCUCUUAAUAAUUAAUCUGAUCCUUAAAGUGUUUUGAUUUUUCAGAUUCAUACUCAGCGAGUAUAUAUUUGGCAACUCUAAGCCUAUCUUGGCAGGCUUCACCUUCCCAGAUGAGGCGUGUUUAGCCUGAACUAAAAAGCUCCCACCUGCCAGUCCCCAGGCGUGCUGUCCCUCGCCUCCUGUGUGCCUUUGCUUGUGCUGGUGCCUCCCUCCCUUUACCCUAUGACUUGGCCCUCUUUUCUGAAGAUUCAGUCAUUGCCUCCUCCAAGAAGCCUUCCUGGACUUCUCUCCUGACUCCAGGCUGACUAAGAGCCUCUUCUCAGCUUCCUGGCAGCUCCUCUGCUUUCUUCUACACAUAAUUCCAAGGUGAUCUCUUGGUGGGUCUGCAGCUACCUGUGAGCUCCAAGCUCCAGCAGAGCAUGGACUGUUUCUGGGUGGGAGCCACAGUCUGGAAGUAGCUCUUGGGCCCUCUUCCCAGAGCCCAGCCGAGCUGAACGGAGCAGAGUGGUUGAUCAUUUAUGAAAUCUCGAUCCUGCCUCUGGCAAAACUGCAAAAGGCAGCAGUUCCUCCAAGCCUGCGCUCCAUGACCAUUUCAGGACACAGGGGAACGUCCCUCUGGUUUCUGUAAGAUCGCCUGUAUGCCGAUGUUGCUUGCAUUCCUCCUUUGCUUUUUGGCGUUCUUCCUGAGAGCAUUACACAAGCUCCCCGUCCUCCCCCCAGACUGUACCUCCAGCUCUGAAACGCUAUGAAUAAAGAAAGACAGCCAGCCAGGGCGGUAUCUUGUUACUAAUUCAACACGCGCAUACCUUUCCUGUGAGCCCUGCAGACUUGCAUUUUCUUGAGAAUGGCAAAGCCAAACAGGCCUGUCCUCUUCCUGACAGAAAAAGACAGGUCUCAGAAACCCGAAAGGGCUUUGCGAGCUCAGUCAGGCUUGCCCAUCUUUAAUGGAAACGGAAAGGAUCAGAGCAGCCAGAUCUGGCUGGGGACAGGUCCCCCACUGUUUCCUGUGGGUGACCUCAGGUCAUGUGCUUCCUGUGACACCCCCCCCCCAGGCCAGUUCUUAACCUCUGAUAUCCAUGAGGAUGCGGGAUCAAGCCCUGGUCUCACUCAGUGCGUUAGGGAUCCCACGUUGCCACAAGCUGGGGUGUGGGUUACAGGCGUGGCUUGGAUCUGGCGUUGCUGUGGCUGUGGCGUAGGGUGGCAGCUGUAGCUCGGAUUUGACCCGUAGCCUGGGAACUUCCAAAUGCCACGGGUGCAGCCCU